This 151-nucleotide unclassified non-coding RNA is filed under the name uncultured fungus. RNAcentral's name for it is "sequence contains ITS1, 5.8S rRNA gene". Lineage: Eukaryota; Fungi. The record is from RNAcentral.
CCGAGUGAGGGCCUCGCGCCCGACCUCCAACCCUUUGUCGUGACCAUCUCUGUUGCCUCGGGGGCGACCCGGCCUCCGCGUCGGCGAGCCCUCGGUGGACCCAUCAAACAAACUCUGCGUCUUUGCGUCUGAGUCAACGGAAAAUUGAAUA